UACGGAGGGUGCGAGCGUUGUCCGGAAUCACUGGGCGUAAAGGGCGCGUAGGCGGCCCGGUAAGUAGGAGGUGAAAUCUUGCGGCUUAACCGCAAGGCUGCCUUCUAAACUGCCAGGCUUGAGCACAGUAGAGGCAGGUGGAAUUCCCGGUGUAGCGGUGGAAUGCGUAGAGAUCGGGAAGAACAUCGGUGGCGAAGGCGGCCUGCUGGGCUGUUGCUGACGCUGAGGCGCGACAGCGUGGGGAGCAAACAGG
RNAcentral lists this ribosomal RNA (253 nucleotides) under uncultured bacterium. Its description in RNAcentral is "partial 16S ribosomal RNA". It matches the Rfam family "Bacterial small subunit ribosomal RNA", at positions 524 to 776 of the family's 1533-position model. The record is from RNAcentral.